GACGAACGCUGGCGGCGCGCCUAACACAUGCAAGUCGAACGAGCGAGAGAGAGCUUGCUUUCUCAAGCGAGUGGCGAACGGGUGAGUAACGCGUGAGGAACCUGCCUCAAAGAGGGGGACAACAGUUGGAAACGACUGCUAAUACCGCAUAAGCCCACGGCUCGGCAUCGAGCAGAGGGAAAAGGAGCAAUCCGCUUUGAGAUGGCCUCGCGUCCGAUUAGCUAGUUGGUGAGGUAACGGCCCACCAAGGCGACGAUCGGUAGCCGGACUGAGAGGUUGAACGGCCACAUUGGGACUGAGACACGGCCCAGACUCCUACGGGAGGCAGCAGUGGGGAAUAUUGCACAAUGGGGGAAACCCUGAUGCAGCGACGCCGCGUGGAGGAAGAAGGUCUUCGGAUUGUAAACUCCUGU
Molecule: ribosomal RNA, 413 nt
Filed under: uncultured bacterium
Lineage: Bacteria
Description: bacterial SSU rRNA
Rfam family: Bacterial small subunit ribosomal RNA
Source: RNAcentral